AUGAACGCUGGCGGCGUGCCUAAUACAUGCCAGUCGAGCGAACGGACGAGAAGCUUGCUUCUCUGAUGUUAGCGGCGGACGGGUGAGUAACACGUGGAUAACCUACCUAUAAGACUGGGAUAACUUCGGGAAACCGGAGCUAAUACCGGAUAAUAUUUUGAACCGCAUGGUUCAAAAGUGAAAGACGGUCUUGCUGUCACUUAUAGAUGGAUCCGCGCUGCAUUAGCUAGUUGGUAAGGUAACGGCUUACCAAGGCAACGAUGCAUAGCCGACCUGAGAGGGUGAUCGGCCACACUGGAACUGAGACACGGUCCAGACUCCUACGGGAGGCAGCAGUAGGGAAUCUUCCGCAAUGGGCGAAAGCCUGACGGAGCAACGCCGCGUGAGUGAUGAAGGUCUUCGGAUCGUAAAACUCUGUUAUUAGGGAAGAACAUAUGUGUAAGUAACUGUACACAUCUUGACGGUACCUAAUCAGAAAGCCACGGCUAACUACGUG
This 496-nucleotide ribosomal RNA is filed under the name uncultured bacterium. RNAcentral describes it as "partial 16S ribosomal RNA". It matches the Rfam family "Bacterial small subunit ribosomal RNA", at positions 29 to 507 of the family's 1533-position model. The record is from RNAcentral.